This 138-nucleotide ribosomal RNA is filed under the name Helicobacter suis HS5. The record is from RNAcentral. Lineage: Bacteria; Pseudomonadati; Campylobacterota; Epsilonproteobacteria; Campylobacterales; Helicobacteraceae.
ACGCUUUUUCUCCCGUGUCCCUAGUAGAGAGGAAAUACCCAGUCCCAUCCCGAACCUGGAAGUCAAGCUCUCUAACGCCGAUGAUACUGCCCUUUGCAAGGGUGGGAAAGUAGGGUGAUGCGGGGGAUUUUAAUCCAC